Molecule: ribosomal RNA, 301 nt
Filed under: uncultured bacterium
Lineage: Bacteria
Description: partial 16S ribosomal RNA
Rfam family: Bacterial small subunit ribosomal RNA
Source: RNAcentral
CAGUAGCCGCGGUAAUACGUAGGUCCCGAGCGUUGUCCGGAUUUAUUGGGCGUAAAGGGGGCGCAGGCGGUUUAGUAAGUCUGAAGUUAAAGGCAUUGGCUCAACCAAUGUAUGCUUUGGAAACUGUUAGACUUGAGUGCAGAAGGGGAGAGUGGAAUUCCAUGUGUAGCGGUGAAAUGCGUAGAUAUAUGGAGGAACACCGGUGGCGAAAGCGGCUCUCUGGUCUGUCACUGACGCUGAGGCUCGUAAGCGUGGGUAGCGAACAGGAUUAGAUACCCCUGUAGUCCCUGUCUCUUAUACA